GCCCAGCUGGCUCAGUUGGUAGAGCAUGCGACUCUUGAUCUCAGGGUUGUGAGUUCGAGCCCCACGUUGGGUA
Molecule: transfer RNA, 73 nt
Filed under: Ailuropoda melanoleuca (giant panda)
Lineage: Eukaryota; Metazoa; Chordata; Mammalia; Carnivora; Ursidae
Rfam family: tRNA
About the family: Transfer RNA (tRNA) molecules are approximately 80 nucleotides in length. Their secondary structure includes four short double-helical elements and three loops (D, anti-codon, and T loops).
Source: Rfam by way of RNAcentral